GACGAACGCUGGCGGCGCGCUUAACACAUGCAAGUCGAGCGGUAAGGCCUCUUCGGGGGUACACGAGCGGCGCACGGGUGAGUAACACGUGGGUGACCUGCCCUCAGCUCUGGGAUAAGCCUGGGAAACUGGGUCUAAUACCGGAUAUGACCUUUCCUCGCAUGGGGUUUGGUGGAAAGUUUUUUCGGCUGGGGAUGGGCCCGCGGCCUAUCAGCUUGUUGGUGGGGUGAUGGCCUACCAAGGCGACGACGGGUAGCCGGCCUGAGAGGGCGACCGGCCACACUGGGACUGAGACACGGCCCAGACUCCUACGGGAGGCAGCAGUGGGGAAUAUUGCGCAAUGGGCGGAAGCCUGACGCAGCGACGCCGCGUGGGGGAUGACGGCCUUCGGGUUGUAAACCUCUUUCGACCCCGACGAAUUUGGACGGUAGGGGUAGAAGAAGCACCGGCCAACUACGUG
This 460-nucleotide ribosomal RNA is filed under the name uncultured bacterium. RNAcentral's name for it is "partial 16S ribosomal RNA". It matches the Rfam family "Bacterial small subunit ribosomal RNA", at positions 28 to 507 of the family's 1533-position model. The record is from RNAcentral.